Molecule: transfer-messenger RNA, 280 nt
Filed under: Rhodospirillales bacterium
Lineage: Bacteria; Pseudomonadati; Pseudomonadota; Alphaproteobacteria; Rhodospirillales
Description: partial transfer-messenger RNA
Rfam family: Alphaproteobacteria transfer-messenger RNA
About the family: Bacterial tmRNA, also known as 10Sa RNA or SsrA, is named for its dual tRNA and mRNA-like properties.
Source: RNAcentral
AACGGCGCAUGGAAUAUGCGUUGCGGACCCGGGGGCAGUACCCGGCGCCUCCACCAGUUUCCCCGCCGGUCCGGUUCGCAUUGCGCAAAUCGAACCGCCGGCGGUUUCAUGGGGGCGAAACAGGCUCGACACGCGUGGUAAAGACCCAUCUUUCGCUCGGCAUGGUUCCGCCGUCAUCGGGCCGUAUCACAAGUGCCAACGAUAACUUCGAGGCGCUCGCUGUCGCUGCAUAAGCGAUAAGCGCGGCACGGGGGGCGCCGGGCAACAGAAGCCCCCCACC